CGCAUUUCAAACGCCUACAUAUAAGCAUUUUCUAAAGGAAGAACAACUGCAAAUAAGAGAAUAAUCGCAUAUGCAUCUUUGAUUUCCGUAUCUCCCUAACUGAUUCAAAGAGAGAUAGAUGUCUUAGCUUCUGUUUUUUAUUUCUUCGACAGCUUGCCACUGCCCUCGUCGGAGAAGCCCGACGUUGAUUUGUUGUACCAGUCAGUUGACCCUGGUUUGCCGCCACUUUGGAGCUUAGUUGGAGCCUCAGCUUCUUCUCUCUCCGCCGCUGGUCCUUGUCGAGCUUGAGCCUCCUGCUGCCAACACUAUUCACCACCUAAAUGGGAAACCACUCUGGCCCACUGACCCUUGCACCAAGAAUUCGAACCCAGUUAUAAGAAAUCGUAAAGAAAAAGAGUAAUUAAGAGAUUGAAGCUGGCAUGUAAAUAAUCGAGAAAAACCCUAGGAAAUGGGGGUUGAGCCAUGACUGAUCGAGCUCCUUGGGUGAAAGAAAUUUUUUGGAAAUAGUAGGCUGAGUUGUUAUCCGUUCAUCUGAAAUGAGAGGGGGUGACUGCUUUGCUCCGCCGAGCCAAAGAGGACAGCGGCGGUAGAGCCUCAUCGCUCGUCGGGAUUCAGCGAAAACUACUCCUUGUCGGAGUCCAGCAAUGGCGAUGACCUCGGCCUCGCCGGACUUUGAAGCUGCGGCGAUGAACAUUUGGCGAAGACAGAAUCGGUGAGGGUGAUUACACGAUGGUUGUGCGUGGUUUGGAUUUGGGAAACGCCACUUGUCCCUUUUUGCUCGAAUCCAUUGGGAAUAACCCAGAUUUGAGAAAUCGAGAUCCACCAAAUUUUUGGGUUAGGAUUGGAACUUUUUUCAUAACUCAGAUCGGAUUCCCCACAUAGAUAUGAUGCGAAGUUGUAUCCUCCCCUCCGAUUAAAAUCUGAUGCAGCGGUUAUUUCGCCGGAAACUGGGAAUAAUUUUCCUAAGUUGUAUCCUCCCCUCGCCGGAAACUGGAAGCUCCCUCGCCGAACCCCCCUCGAUCCUCCCCUUUUUUUCUCUCUUUNUUUUUCGAUGAACAGUAACCUAAAUCCCCCAUCCCCCAAAUUUUUUUCGAUGAACAGUAAUCUAGCUUCAAUGAACAGUAAUCCUCUCGAUGAACAGUACCCGGAAAAAUUAUGAAUCUCACGCCUUAGCUCGAUUUCCCACAGACGGCGCCAGUUGGUGAAACGAGAAACCAACACCUAAACUAAAAAGCAGUAAACGACACCGGAUUUACG
Molecule: long non-coding RNA, 1257 nt
Filed under: Salvia miltiorrhiza (redroot sage)
Lineage: Eukaryota; Viridiplantae; Streptophyta; Magnoliopsida; Lamiales; Lamiaceae
Description: long non-coding RNA (SMIL_LNC008350)
Source: RNAcentral